AAAAUAUCUACUAAGGACUAAAUAUAAAACCCAAUCUAACCAAAAAUAAAAGGUUACUCUACUCAACCCACCCCACCUCACCCCACCCAGUCCAUUAGGCCCGAUUACAAACAAAAAAAGAAAAAAAAAGAAAAAUCAAUCACCAUCUCUCCUUCUUUUCUCACUCAAUCCACUGAAAUCCUAAACGAAGAGCCCUUCGCUCUCCUCCUCCUCCGCCAGCAUAGCCAACCAAGUAGAGUUCCGGUGGUUGCUAAAUACUUAAAUAAGUGUUGGUAAAUUAGCAGCACUCUGUUUAAGUUAUAUCGACACUCUUAAACUGUCACUAUAUACCUAGCGACCCCACAUAUAGCAACACUUUUUAAAACUGUUGGUAAUUUAGCUAGCAGCACUUUUUU
This 395-nucleotide long non-coding RNA is filed under the name Ananas comosus (pineapple). RNAcentral's name for it is "long non-coding RNA (ACOM_LNC030518)". The record is from RNAcentral. Lineage: Eukaryota; Viridiplantae; Streptophyta; Magnoliopsida; Poales; Bromeliaceae.